AGCGAACGCUGGCGGCGUGCCUCAUACAUGCAAGUCGCGCGAGAAACCUCCUUCGGGAGGGAGUAAAGCGGCGCACGGGUGAGUAACACGUAGGUAACGUGCCCUUGAGUCUGGGAUAACUCGGGGAAACUCGGGCUAAUACCGGAUGAGACCGCGGGAUCCUCGGAUCCUGCGGGGAAGGGUGGCCUCUGCUUGCAAGCUACCGCUCGUGGAUCGGCCUGCGUCCCAUUAGCAGUUGGUGAGGUAACGGCUCACCAAGGCGGAGAUGGGUAGCUGAUCUGAGAGGAUGAUCAGCCACACUGGAACUGAGAUACGGUCCAGACUCCUACGGGAGGCAGCAGUAGGGAAUUUUGGGCAAUGGGCGAAAGCCUGACCCAGCAACGCCGCGUGAGGGAUGAAGGCC
Molecule: ribosomal RNA, 403 nt
Filed under: uncultured bacterium
Lineage: Bacteria
Description: bacterial SSU rRNA
Rfam family: Bacterial small subunit ribosomal RNA
Source: RNAcentral